AAUAGAUACCCAGGUAGUCCUAGCUGUAAACGAUGAGCACUGGGUUGAGGGGACUUCCACAUCCUCUCGGCCGUAGCGAAAGCGUUAAGUGCUCCGCCUGGGGAGUAUGGCCGCAAGGCUGAAACUCAAAGGAAUUGACGGGGGCUCACACAAGCGGUGGAGGAUGUGGCUUAAUUCGAGGCUACGCGAAGAACCUUAUCCUAGAUUUGACAUGGUUGAGAAUCUCCUUGAAAGAGGAGAGUGCCCUUCGGGGAGCUCUUUCACAGGUGCUGCAUGGCUGUCGUCAGCUCGUGUCGUGAGAUGUUGGGUUAAGUCCCUUAACGAGCGAAACCCUUAUCUUUAGUUGCCAGCGGGUCAAGCCGGGGACUCUAAAGAGACUGCCGGUGUCAAACCGGAGGAAGGUGGGGAUGACGUCAAGUCCUCAUGGCCUUUAUGUCUAGGGCUGCACACGUCCUACAAUGGCACGUACAAAGGGAAGCCAAGCCGCGAGGCCGCGCUAAUCCCAAAAAGCGUGCCCCAGUUCGGAUUGCAGG
This 533-nucleotide ribosomal RNA is filed under the name uncultured bacterium. RNAcentral's name for it is "bacterial SSU rRNA". It matches the Rfam family "Bacterial small subunit ribosomal RNA", at positions 777 to 1304 of the family's 1533-position model. The record is from RNAcentral.